AUGCAAGGGGACCCGGCGGAGAAGAAGGGGAAGGUGAAGAAGGGGUGGCUGGCCGUGCGGGUCGGCCAGGCCCAGGCGGAGCAGCAGGGCGACGGGUUCCGGCGGUUCGUCAUCCCCAUCGCCUACCUCUACCACCCGCUCUUCCAGCGGCUGCUGGAGGCGGCCCGGGACACGUAUGGCUACAGCUCGGCCGGCCCGCUCUGGCUGCCCUGCUCCGUCGACGAGUUCCUCCGCCUCCGCGCGCGCUCGUCGACCGGGAGACGGCGCACUCGCACUCCUCGUCCUCGCACCGCGUGCACGUGCAGGCCGGCAGCCACCAGCAGCACGGCUACUCCUUCGCCCCGUGCACCCGCGCCAAGGUUACCUCCUGAUCGACCGACGGAUCAUCGAGCGCCGGCGGCCCUUCGUGCGUGCGUGCGCGUGCAUGGCGACUGUGAGCACCGGAGCGCGCGAGCGCCGAGUGGGUAG
This 468-nucleotide ribosomal RNA is filed under the name Triticum aestivum (bread wheat). RNAcentral describes it as "partial small subunit ribosomal RNA". The record is from RNAcentral. Lineage: Eukaryota; Viridiplantae; Streptophyta; Magnoliopsida; Poales; Poaceae.